GCAAGCCUGAUCCAGCCAUGCCGCGUGCAGGAUGACGGUCCUAUGGAUUGUAAACUGCUUUUGCACAGGAAGAAACAACGCUACGUGUAGCGUCUUGACGGUACUGUGAGAAUAAGGAUCGGCUAACUCCGUGCCAGCAGCCGCGGUAAUACGGAGGAUCCAAGCGUUAUCCGGAAUCAUUGGGUUUAAAGGGUCCGUAGGCGGUCUUAUAAGUCAGUGGUGAAAUCUCCCCGCUCAACGGGGAAACGGCCAUUGAUACUGUAGGACUUGAAUUAUUAGGAAGUAACUAGAAUAUGUAGUGUAGCGGUGAAAUGCUUAGAGAUUACAUGGAAUACCAAUUGCGAAGGCAGGUUACUACUAAUGGAUUGACGCUGAUGGACGAAAGCGUGGGUAGCGAACAGGAUUAGAUACCCUGGUAGUCCACGCCGUAAACGAUGGAUACUAGCUGUUGGGCGCAAGUUCAGUGGCUAAGCGAAAGUGAUAAGUAUCCCACCUGGG
Molecule: ribosomal RNA, 498 nt
Filed under: uncultured bacterium
Lineage: Bacteria
Description: bacterial SSU rRNA
Rfam family: Bacterial small subunit ribosomal RNA
Source: RNAcentral